GGUGUAAUGAGCCGAAUGAAUAAGGGGAGGGCAAGUCUGGUGUCAGCCGCCGCGGUAAUACCAGCUCCUCGAGUUGUUGGGWCGAUUAUUGGGUCUAAAGCGUCCGUAGCCGGCCGGAAAAGUUCACCGUUAAAUCCGACGAUUCAAUUGUCGGGCUGCGGAGAAUACUCUUCGGCUUGGGGGCGGGGGAGGUCGGCGGUAUUCCCGGGGUAGGGGCGAAAUCUUAUAAUCCCGGGAGGACCACCAGUGGCGAAGGCGGCCGACUAAAACGCGCCCGACGGUGAGGGACGAAAGCUGGGGGAGCGAACGGGAUUAGAUACCCCGGUAGUCCCAGCUGUAAACAAUGCAGGCUAGGUGUCGGGAUGGMUACGGGCCAGCUCGGUGCCGCAGGGAAGCCAUUAAGCCUGCCACCUGGGAAGUACGGUCGCAAGGCUGAAAUCCGGAGAGGCCUACGGUAGUAAAUGUUACUUGAGAUCAAUUUAAGAUAAUUCGG
This 493-nucleotide ribosomal RNA is filed under the name uncultured archaeon. RNAcentral describes it as "bacterial SSU rRNA". It matches the Rfam family "Archaeal small subunit ribosomal RNA", at positions 416 to 869 of the family's 1478-position model. The record is from RNAcentral.